UACCUUCCGCGCUUCCUGACGACAAGAUCUCAUGGACUGGUUUGCUGCAUCUCUUUCUAACACAUUGUAUCGAAAAUCUAUGAUGACAUUCAGUGUGAACAUAGGCACGGAAGAGGAGGACAACUAUAGCAGCUUUACUGUGCGUAAGAGUGAAACAACACUAAUCCAAAUAAAAAAGAUGGUGUCGUCACUUCGCUCUGAAAGACACUCUCUCUAUGCUAAUAUAUAACUCUAUGGUUGCACGUUAUUAGGGAGAGAUUAAAUGUCCAGCAAACGACGGCAAUGUUGCCAGAUUCCUUUUAGCGGGAAUUUUAAAAUUUUAUAGCAGUUUGGUUUUAAAUUUGACAGUUCUGAUUUCUCAAGUCAAAAAUCUUAACCUUACUUUUACAAGUGAUUAGGAUUAUUAUUAUUAUUUUAUUUACAAGUAAAUUGAAACAAUAAAUAUUGUGCUGUGUCAUAAUUUCAAACUCAUUAUGUUGCAGUCUUUUCCAGUUGAUAAAAUUGCAAUUCAAAAACUUUUAGGUAGAUUUGCACUGUAUGGAUGGCACAGGAAGAGAACAAGAACAUGAAACAUCUUAUUAUGAAUGUAUAUGUAUGUGAUCCUCAAAAAAUUAUUUUACAAAACAAGAUAGAGAAAGAGCUUUAAAAUCCCAAGGAUCCUGCAAAAUGUUUAUUUGGUUUACUAGUCGAAUAAUAGUAUCUAAAAAUAUUGAAACUAUUUUAAAACACAUUACGGGCAUGAGGAUGAUAUAGAGCACUUACAUAAAUACCAAAAUCAGAUAAAUAUCUCUUCAAAGUUUAUUUUGAGACUUUCUUCAAAAAUUUAACUUCAGACUGUUCAGGAUAGCAUAAUAGCAUAGGAGGCGAAUUAAAAAGAAUUGAUUUACUUACAAGAAAAGAUAUCACAAACAUUAAACUCUCUUAUGGCAUUGAUUUGAAAGAUGGGUAUAUGUACAAUGAUGAUGCAACCAGUGUUUAUUUUUGGGUUGAAUGCUUACAGACUCAUGUCCAAUAUUAUUUUACAAACAACAGGGCAUACUAAUGGAUAUUCAUUCUGAAUUUAACAUUUAUGAUUUUUGUCUUAUUUCCUUAAUACUGUGCCAAAAGGAAAUGUUAAUUAAGUUUGGUAUAGUAUUUUUACUACAAAAACGUUAUUAUGUAGGUCAAAAUUUUUGACGUAAGAGAACUGUCAAAACAUUAGAAUGUGACUUUUCAUUAUUGCCGUGUUUAUAAUAAACAUAGCAAUAAUGAAAAGUCACAUUCUAAUGUUUUGACAGUUCUCUUACGUCAAAAAUUUUGACCUACGUAAUAACGUUUUUGUAGUAAAAAUACUAUAAAUCCUUUAUAGCAAUCGAUGGAACUCAUGGGCUCAAUUCCUAUGACUUUGAACUUAUUGACAGUAUUAGUAAAAGAUGAAUUUGGGAAUGGAUUUUGUACUGCUUUCUUAUUUUCAAAUAGAAAAGAUACCUACUUUAAUUUACCAAUUUUUUUAAAUACAUGUCUGUGUUGGUAUUAUAUGUAUAGUCAAAUGUUUUCAUAUCAGGCAUAAGCGACACCUUUUACAAUGCCUCGUCAAAUGUAAUGGGUAUUGCUCCUAAUAGACUGUUAAGUGCCUGGCACAUAGAUAGGGCAUGGUAAGUAAAUCUUAAUAAAAUAUCUGAUUCUGAAAAAAAUACUAUUAUGUAUACAAGAUGUAUUAAUGAUGGUUUAGAGAGUAUUAAUAGCUUUUUGGGUAGACUUAAGUGAUGUAGAUACAUACAAUUUUAGUAAAUAUUUCCAGUAGAACUACUGCAAUAACAUCCAACAAUGGGCCUAUUGUUAUAGGAAGGGGUUGUGGAAUUAAUACCAAUAUGACCAUUCAAAAUUUUCAUAAAAUUUUGGAUAAAAGGGUAUCCAUUAGUUGUUAUCAGUUAAGUUUAAAACUUGGCACUCAUGGAGAGCUAUACCAUAAUAUAUAAUAGGUAUAUCUCAUAAUAUUACAUCUCAUAUUGUUCACUACAGUAGUAAUGAGUGAGCCUGCAUACACAGAACCAUAAUAAUAUAUUAUAGUUCGU
Molecule: long non-coding RNA, 2054 nt
Organism: Diabrotica virgifera virgifera (western corn rootworm)
Lineage: Eukaryota; Metazoa; Arthropoda; Insecta; Coleoptera; Chrysomelidae
Exons: 3
Source: RefSeq, a predicted model, not a curated record